GCACCACCACCUCUGUAUAAAAGGAAAAUCCAGAUUGUUCAGGAAAGUUCUAUCCACAAACAAAAACCCUAAUCUCAACCGCAGUCUAGUAUCAGAAACCAGUCACCAGAGCCAUGUCUCACUUUGGAAGAUCAGGUCCGCCGGAUAUCAAAGACACCUUUUCUUUACUCGUUCUCAACAUCACCUUCCGCACCACCGCGGAUGAUCUGUUUCCGUUUUUUGACAAAUACGGAAAGGUCGUCGAUAUCUUCAUUCCCAGAGAUCGAAGGACUGGUGAAUCGCGUGGUUUUGCAUUUGUUCGUUAUAAGUAUGCAGAUGAGGCACAAAAGGCAGUGGAUAGGCUAGACGGAAGGAUUGUUGAUGGUCGAGAAAUUACAGUUCAGUUUGCUAAAUAUGGGCCAAAUGCUGAGCGAAUCCACAAAGGAAGAAUUGUUGAAACAUUUCCAAAGUCUAGAGGCAGGUCAAGAAGUAAUAGUCCACGGCGAAGGUAUCGAGAUGAUAACAGAGACAGGGAUUACAGGAGGAGAAGUCGCAGCAGGAGCUAUGAUAGGUAUGAAAGUGACAGGUACCGUGGGAGGGAGAGAGACUAUCGACGUCGAAGCAGGAGCCACAGUGCAAGUCCUGAUUACCACAGAGGCCGGUAUGAUGAUGGACGACGGAAUCUGAGUAGGAGUCGGUCAAUUGAUAGUGUUUCCCCCACUCGGUAUACACCUAGUCCUAAGAGAAAUUUUCCUCCUCGUGUGACCCCAUCUCCUCCUAGGGGUGGUAGUCAGGACAGACGCAGUGGGGAAGAACGAUCCCCUAGUCGAAGUAUUUCACCAAGAGGUCGGCCUGCUGGUUCACGUAGCCCAUUCCUGCACAAGUCAGAUGCUGAUGACUGAUUGUGGUGAAGGGUGCAUGGUACUCAGAUGGUGCAUCGGUAAUAGUUCUAUGUCUGAUAUGUCUAGCUCGAAGGGGUUUGGAGCCUCAAAGACCUUCUCAUUAGAAUGAUGUUAGUUUUGGCAGGAAUGAAUUUCCAAUGUUGUUCUGUUCGUGAAAAGGCUGAUGGGCAUGUUGAUGAUGAUGAUGAUGAUGGUGAUGGUGAUGGUGAUGGUGAUGGUGAUGAUGCUGUUUGUAAUUCAUAGAUGGGUGAUCAUCAUUUUGUGCUCUGGUUGCGAACAGCAGUUUGCUGGUUGAAUAAACAGUAUCUUAACUAAGUUUCUCUAAAUGAUCGUGUCAUUGGCCAUUGGUGCUUUUGGAAAUAUUGGUCUUGAAAGGGGUAGUUGCUGUGAUGGUGUUAAAAGGUCGGUAUUCUGAAGGCGUGUUUUUACCUGUUGCUGUUGAUGCCAAUGAGGUGGGGUUCUGUUUUGUUCAAUGACCACCCUGAUGCUGAUUUUAACCAUGAAACCUAGUUUGCUGGUCUAUACUCUGCAACCACGAUGUUGAAGAGGGUAAAAUUUCUCUGAUUAUUUUUCUUUGGGCACAAAGGAUUGCAGCUGUAGCUGUGAAGUGAUAGCUGAUAUGCCCAUUCUGUCAUGUUGUAGAGUUGGGUGGGGUUCGGGUUAGUGAAUAUCCAUCUGCUGUAGUAGGCUUUUGCUACCCUUGUUGCUGGGAUCUCGGGUAUUGAUGGUGGCUGCCUGCCAAAUUCUGGUGGUGAAAUACCACCUUAUGCCCUUGAAUCUGAUUCUUGGUUGCAUGUUAUUUUUCCAGCUCAAAUGAAGUAUGCAUAUUCUCAUCUUCCCGUUCCAUCUUCAAUUUCUUUCUGGAGUUUGUUCUUCCUGUGUUGGAUUGUAACAGGCUAGAGUGCUUUGAGCUUGUGUGGAACUCUUUGUUAGCCGAACGGACAAAAUAGACAUAAUGCCUGUGCUUUUUAUACUUA
Molecule: RNA transcript, 1858 nt
Organism: Vitis riparia (riverbank grape)
Lineage: Eukaryota; Viridiplantae; Streptophyta; Magnoliopsida; Vitales; Vitaceae
Gene name: serine/arginine-rich splicing factor SC35-like
Exons: 11
Source: RefSeq, a predicted model, not a curated record